CUCAUUAUGCGGCUUGUUAUAUAAAUGAUCAUCUGUAUUGUACUAUUACAGGUUCUUCAGAACAUCUUGGAUUUUAUGGAUGAGGGGCCAUUAUUUAAAGGUUUCAUGAAGGACUGUGAAGCUGGAUUAUAUUUCUGUGCAGAAGGAUUAAAAAACUACACCAGACUGGUGGCCAUGACAGAUGUCAGUGGGAAAUUUAAACAUGGACUAGAUACUUUUAAUGUGUAGCAAAAAAGUUCAUCGUUGAUGGUGGUGUUUUUAUGUGAUAUAUUGACUGGGAUAGUAUUACUCUUCAGAAAUACAGAGCUGUCAAUGCUGUAAUUUUAUUGUGAAAUUCACAAUCCAUGUCCAGAAGUGCUUGUUUAACUAUACAGCAAAGAAGGAGAAAUUGUACUGGGUCGACACCUAUAUGGCAAAUUCAGAAAGUGGAAUAUCUCAACAACCAUAGGGUUUACAGUCAUGAAACUUCACACACUAGUAGCUGAUAACAAUACAAAUCAGUGGCUAAAAGGAUAUUUCCAAGGCGAUGCAUUCCAUACAUUAGAAGGAAUUUAGAAUCAUACAACCAGUCAGCAGCUACCCAUAAACCAGACCAACCUAUUAGGUCGAGUGGGCAGAAGCUGUGAUUCCCAGUGUAACACGGCAGACUGACGGCUAUUUUUCGGAUUACAUUUCUGUGCGAAAGGAUUAAAAAACUACACCAGACUGGUGGCCAUGACAGAUGUCAGUGGGAAAUUUAAACAUGGACUAGAUACUUUAAUGUGUAGCAAAAAUGUUCAUCGUUGAUGGUGGUGUUUUCUGUGAUAUAUUGACUGGGAUAGUAUUACUCUUCAGAAAUACAGAGCUGUCAAUGCUGCAAUUUUAUUGUGAAAUUCACAAUCCAUGUCCAAAAGUGCUUGUUAUACUAUACAGCAAAGAAGGAGAAAUUGUACUGGGCCGACACCAUUAGAUCGUAUGCAAUUUGGAGAUCUCAACAGUUAUAUGCAGUCGGGGAUAUUGUUAGUUGCAUGCAGUCAGGGGAUCUUGACAGAUGUAUGCAGUCAGGGGAUCUCGACAGUUGUAUGCAGUCAGGAGAUCAUAACAGUUGUAUGCAGUCCGGGAAUCCCGACAGUACUUUGCAGUCCAGGGAUCUUGACAGUUGUAUGCAGUCAGGGGAUCACGACAGUUGUAUGCAGUCUGGGGAUCUUGACAGUACUUUGCAGUUCAGGGAUCUUGACAGUUGUAUGCAGUCAGGAGAUCACGACAGUACUUCGCAGUCCAGGGAUCUUGACAGUUGUAUGCAGUCAGGAGAUCUUGGAUCUUUUGUACUGUUGACAUUCUCAAGAUUCUGUCUUAAAAAAAACUUACUUGGACAGCUUAAAAGCUUCUCUAUAACUUGACUCUGACAUUCUAAAGUAGAAGACAUGUGUAUGAAUAUUUAGUUCCGGCAUGCAGUACUUGAGCAGUUGAGUUUUGGAAAGGUGGCAAUUUGAAUGUUUACAGUGAUCUCUGUAAACUAUUAAUUGGCAAAUUGACGGGGAUUUUGGUAGUAAAUAUGUUAUCAGUGGUGCAAGACUGGAAUUUUGACUCUAAGGUGAAAAAGUGGACUAAUCGCAUGAUAGGCAUCUAUACCUUUGCGCAGGCUAUAAAGAAGUGUCAUCUUUUUCAUGGGUAGUUUCGAGGACUUUUAUAACUUAUUUUUUUUUUUUGCAAUUUGUGUAUUUUUGAAUGUGUUGAAGCACAAUGAGGAACCUUUGGACUUAACAGCAGUGUCAGAACAGGAUAACCGGUUUGGCUGGCCGGUCUGGGACGUCCAAUGCCCAGACUGCUGGUGCCGCGAACCCCACUGAUGGGACAACUAGUUCGGCUGGCUGGUCCGGGUCCUCACAGACCCAGACAGCUAGUGCCGCAAACCCCAUGGAUGUCAGCAGGAAUGGAGUUCACCAUAUGGAGUCAGAAGAAACUGAAAAUACAAAACUGUUUUGAUGACAACUGCACUGACAAGACAACUGGUUCGGCUGGCCAGUCUGGGGUGUCCAAUGCCCAGACUUAUAGUGCCGAAAACCCCACCGACAGAACAACUGGUUUGGGUCCUUACAGACCCAGACUGCUGGUGCCGCAAACCCCACGAAUGUCCGCGGCUCUCAUCUGGCAGAAGAAAUAGCUACAAAUGGUGAGCUGCAUAGAAGCAAGCAUUUUAGAAAACGAGGAUGUGAUUCCAAUCGUGACCAGGCUGGUGACCUUGAUCGUGGUCAUUGGGAUACGGAGGAUUUGAUAGACAGGCGGGGAACUGCAAAAAAGGGCAUGAAUAAAGGACAGGGCGGGUAUUCAUGGAAGAGGUGCAUUUGAUAAACAGGGCGGGAGUGAUUGUUCUAUGAGAUAUUGUUCUGAAGAUCACAGUGGGUGUGAUUUUUAUCACCCACACCCUAGGAGUUCUGUAGUAGAGGGUGGACAGAGAUGAUAGGAAGACGUAGAGAGGACAGACAGAGAAGAUAGCCGUCGAAGCCACCAGCAACUCGACUGAGACUUUUAUAAUUAUUGUAAUAAAACUUGGUAGUUAGAAUGUGAAUUGAUGGAACACAAAUGGCUUCUCAGAUAAUUUUAAUUUUAGAGCAAAUUUUAUUGAUAAACUUCAUUUUGAUGUGAUUGUUAUUUCAGAAACACACCUAACAGCUGAUAAGAUAAUUGAACUGUCUAUGUAUUUUAUGGAUACAAUAGAAAAAAUAUUUACGUAAAUGCGCAAACUGGUUCAGGUGGAGUUUGUAUUUUUGUAAAAAGGUCUUUUGCAGAACAUUUUAGUUUUGAAAUUUUAGACAUAAGCUAUGAGGGAAUUUUAUGGUUAAGUUUUAAAUCUAAAAAAGUUUUGAGAAAAUUGUUACUGUUUGUGCUUGCUUUUUGCCACAAAUGGGAUUUUCUGCAUAUGUGGAGAUCAUGAUUAUUUUGACCAACAGUUAAGUAAUAUGUAUGAGUAUCAGAAAUUUGGUAAAUUUUUUAUUCAUCAGUAGAUCAGGUGUAAGAGAUGACCGGCAAAGUUCUGUACCAUUUGAAUUUGUAGAUGAUUCUGAGAUUUGUACUUGUAGCCCUGUUUUAGUUUUAAAUAUGUGGAAAACAGACUUCUAUAACUUACACUGAAUACUGACAUGUUUGUUGAGGGAUUGCAAAUAAGGAAAGCAAUGUAUAUAUAGAUAAGUUGUACUGAUCAAGACAUAUUCACAUUGUUUGAUGUUAAAACUGCUAUUUUUAAUGUUAAAAAUAAUAGAGCAAUGAGAUAUGAUGAAACACCAAGUAUAGGUUUUAAAUAUGAGGCACAGUAUUUGCAUUUGAUGUUUAAUUUCUUAUAACACCGACAAAGUACCAAAAGCUUUGGGUAAAAGUAUUAUUAACCCUGUACUGAAAGGAUCUACAAUCACUACUAAGGAUCCAUUGUAUUACAUGGGUAUUUCUAUCAUACCAGUCAUACACAAAAUUAGUGUUCAUUGUUAAAUAAGAAACUUACCUCUUUUGUUCAAACAAAUUGUAUUUUAUUUGAAGGCCAAAAUGGCUUCAGUAAAAUUGGAAGUACCAUUGAUCAUCUAUCUACUUUAACAAGUAUUGUUGAUACACGGCGGAAAAUGAAGUUGACAUUGUUCAUUUAUAGACUUAAGGAAUACUUACGCCUGUAUAAAGAGGCAAAUUUUAUGGUGUUAAUUAGAUAGCAUUUUUGGGAAUAAGUUAUUAAAUGCCACAAAACGUAAAUGUAUAGUGUAGUUUUAAGUGGUAACUUUAGAUUUUAAGUGUUGUUUGUUGUACAUAUAUCUCCUAUAACUCUGUUUACAGUGGCAGUACUCAUUUGUACUGUAUAAAUAUUAAUCUGUGCUGAUGAUAAUAAAUAAACAAAUAAAUAAAUACAAUGUCACUGUAAAUUUGAAAUGAAGAGAGUGUGAAAUAAGAAAUCAUCAUUCAGUGUUUUUUUUUAAUGGAAGUAAGCUGUGAAUAUAUUUGAACAAAGAUCAGUCACUUUUUUGGUUUUGACCUGUCGGAAAUAAUGUUGGAUGACUUUGACUGAAAAAAGAUUUUCAUAUUUUUUAAUUUCUUUUACAUAAAUUUUGAACUGAUUAAUGUAUUGUGAAAAUGAUACACUUGAGCGAAUUAUAGGGAAUUUUGUCAGUCUUUGAAUUUUUGUAUGUCAGACUUUGAAUUUUUUGUAUGUCAGACUUUGAAUUUUUGUAUGUCAGUCUCUGAAUUUUUGUAAUAUUGCACACCAACUGACAGUCGGUAUAUACACGGAGGCUUGUUGUGUGCCGAAAUAAAAAGAUCUAAUUAUAUUCUUUCUACAGUAGAUAUUGAGUUUACAUGAAUAGAACAUACAGCAAAAAUAAUGGAUUGGCAUGCUUGAUUUUUUGGUGAAUCUGCUUUGAAAAUUCACAGCAAUUCACCAUUUUCCUAAUAAGAGUCUGAUGUAACAUCAUAUUUUAAGGAUUUACUGUGUAAAGAAAUGUUGAUUUUGACAUAACAGUUGUAAAAGUACCAAUAUUGCAUCAUGUAUUGUACUUAAAUUAUAACCCAAUGUAGUGACUGGCCAAUGGCUAAAGCGAACAACUGAAAUUCUGGCUGAUUUUCCAACACAUUUAAGAACUGUUCAUGUUAGAUGGUCUGUUAAUCUUGAGAAUGGAUUCAUUGUUGGCUAUACAGACAGAAAGAUAUUUUAUUAAGGUCUUACUUUCAUACAUAAAAGUAUAAAAUACAUUAAUAUACAAGGCAUAAUUAUGAGAUUCUAAUUUUCAGACAUGUACAUUUACUUAUUUUUUUAUUUUUAUUUUUGUAUUUUGAUAAUUUUCAAAAUGAAUUAAGAGAUGUAUUUGAAAUUGCAGUGUGUAAUUACUGAGGAUUAACUUGCCUUGAAAUGUGCAUGGUAAGUCUACAUAAGUAUAUCUGUCCUUCCAAACAAAUAUUUACAUUUUAUUAUUGAAUCUUGCAAAAUAUUGCAGAAACAUCUGUCCUGUAGAUCAUUUGAUAUAAUACGCUUUUUAAAACAAGAGUUUGUUCUUUGUUCAGAAUUGAACACAUUGGCUGUUAUAAGAUCCAUGAAUAUAUGUAUUUUUCUUAAUGUUUUGAUAGGAUAUUUCUCGUUCUUGGAUAUACAUUGUUGUUUGUUCAAUAUGUUUAAAUGAAAAAAUAUAAAUGACUAAAUAAAUGUACAUAAUUUUGA
Molecule: long non-coding RNA, 5167 nt
Organism: Mercenaria mercenaria
Lineage: Eukaryota; Metazoa; Mollusca; Bivalvia; Venerida; Veneridae
Exons: 5
Source: RefSeq, a predicted model, not a curated record